Phascolarctos cinereus (koala) is the source of this 257-nucleotide non-coding RNA. The record is from RefSeq and is a predicted model, not a curated record. NCBI's taxonomy places the organism in Eukaryota, Metazoa, Chordata, Mammalia, Diprotodontia, Phascolarctidae.
AUUUUGGGGAACAAAGUGGUGGGUAGUGAUGACAAAUUGAACAAAGAAAAAGAAAAAAAGCAUCAAUUAAAAGGUAAAGAGAAAAGAGGAGAAGGAGAAACCAGUUUGAAAAAAAAGAAAGAAGAAUGGAGCAUAAUGGAUGAAGAAGUGCCAUAAAAACUGGAUACCAACAGCAAGGCAUUUUUUAAAAAAAAUUUCCUGCCAGAUGUAGCCAUCUACAAUCUAACUAAGGUUUCAGCGGCAGGAAAGAACAGAGA